CAGAUAAUAGUUUAAUUAAAACACCGGCUUUGGGUGCCAAUAAUCUCACAAGAGUUAUCUGA
RNAcentral lists this transfer RNA (62 nucleotides) under Dendrobaena tellermanica. RNAcentral describes it as "tRNA-Pro". Lineage: Eukaryota; Metazoa; Annelida; Clitellata; Crassiclitellata; Lumbricidae. The record is from RNAcentral.